GGUGUGUCAAAUUCAUUUCUAACGUUAGAUGAAAUGCUCAGCUAAUUUCACAAAUAUACAAUGGUGGAACAAAAAAAUCAGUCCAUUGUAACAUAAGCUUCGAUAUAUGUGUGUAAAAUAUGUUUUGAUCCAUGUGGUUUGGUCCUAAAACACUUGGCACCUUAUGAGUAUAUCUUUAACACUUUACUACCCUAUGCUGUG
Molecule: long non-coding RNA, 201 nt
Filed under: Lupinus angustifolius (narrow-leaved blue lupine)
Lineage: Eukaryota; Viridiplantae; Streptophyta; Magnoliopsida; Fabales; Fabaceae
Description: long non-coding RNA (LANG_LNC001639)
Source: RNAcentral